RNAcentral lists this ribosomal RNA (1249 nucleotides) under metagenome. Its description in RNAcentral is "bacterial SSU rRNA". It matches the Rfam family "Bacterial small subunit ribosomal RNA", at positions 8 to 1248 of the family's 1533-position model. The record is from RNAcentral.
AGAGUUUGAUCAUGGCUCAGGAUGAACGCUAGCUACAGGCUUAACACAUGCAAGUCGAGGGGAAACGAUAUUGGAAGCUUGCUUCCGAUAGGCGUCGACCGGCGCACGGGUGAGUAACGCGUAUCCAACCUGCCCAUCACUUGGGGAUAACCUUGCGAAAGUAAGACUAAUACCCAAUGACGUCUCUAGAAGACAUCUGAAGGAGAUUAAAGAUUUAUCGGUGAUGGAUGGGGAUGCGUCAGAUUAGCUUGUUGGCGGGGUAACGGCCCACCAAGGCUACGAUCAGUAGGGGUUCUGAGAGGAAGGUCCCCCACAUUGGAACUGAGACACGGUCCAAACUCCUACGGGAGGCAGCAGUGAGGAAUAUUGGUCAAUGGACGAGAGUCUGAACCAGCCAAGUAGCGUGCAGGAUGACGGCCCUAUGGGUUGUAAACUGCUUUUAUAAGGGAAUAAAGUGAGCCUCGUGAGGCUUUUUGCAUGUACCUUAUGAAUAAGGACCGGCUAAUUCCGUGCCAGCAGCCGCGGUAAUACGGAAGGUCCGGGCGUUAUCCGGAUUUAUUGGGUUUAAAGGGAGCGUAGGCCGGAGAUUAAGCGUGUUGUGAAAUGUAGACGCUCAACGUCUGCACUGCAGCGCGAACUGGUUUCCUUGAGUACGCACAAAGUGGGCGGAAUUCGUGGUGUAGCGGUGAAAUGCUUAGAUAUCACGAAGGACUUCGAUUGCGAAGGCAGCUCACUGGAGCGCAACUGACGCUGAAGCUCGAAAGUGCGGGUAUCGAACAGGAUUAGAUACCCUGGUAGUCCGCACGGUAAACGAUGGAUGCCCGCUGUUGGUCUGAAUAGGUCAGCGGCCAAGCGAAAGCAUUAAGCAUCCCACCUGGGGAGUACGCCGGCAACGGUGAAACUCAAAGGAAUUGACGGGGGCCCGCACAAGCGGAGGAACAUGUGGUUUAAUUCGAUGAUACGCGAGGAACCUUACCCGGGCUUGAAUUGCAGAGGAAGGAUUUGGAGACAAUGACGCCCUUCGGGGCCUCUGUGAAGGUGCUGCAUGGUUGUCGUCAGCUCGUGCCGUGAGGUGUCGGCUUAAGUGCCAUAACGAGCGCAACCCCUCUCCUUAGUUGCCAUCAGGUUAAGCUGGGCACUCUGGGGACACUGCCACCGUAAGGUGUGAGGAAGGUGGGGAUGACGUCAAAUCAGCACGGCCCUUACGUCCGGGGCUACACACGUGUUACAAUGGCAGGUACAGAGAGAC